AGAGCGAACGCUGGCGGCAGGCCUAACACAUGCAAGUCGAACGGACCCUUCGGGGUUAGUGGCGGACGGGUGAGUAACACGUGGGAACGUGCCUUUUGGUUCGGAAUAGCUCCUGGAAACGGGUGGUAAUGCCGAAUGUGCCCUUCGGGGGAAAGAUUUAUCGCCAUUAGAGCGGCCCGCGUCUGAUUAGCUAGUUGGUAAGGUAAUGGCUUACCAAGGCGACGAUCAGUAGCUGGUCUGAGAGGAUGACCAGCCACAUUGGGACUGAGACACGGCCCAAACUCCUACGGGAGGCAGCAGGUGGGGAAUCUCGCGCAAUGGGCGAAAGCCUGACGCAGCCAUGCCGCGUGAAUGAUGAAGGUCUUAGGAUUUAGUAAAAUUCUUUCGAACCGGGACAUAAUGGACGGUACCCGGAGAAGACGCCCCGGCUAACGUCGU
This 438-nucleotide ribosomal RNA is filed under the name uncultured soil bacterium. RNAcentral's name for it is "bacterial SSU rRNA". It matches the Rfam family "Bacterial small subunit ribosomal RNA", at positions 26 to 506 of the family's 1533-position model. The record is from RNAcentral.